This 550-nucleotide ribosomal RNA is filed under the name Saccharomyces cerevisiae (brewer's yeast). RNAcentral describes it as "partial large subunit ribosomal RNA". It matches the Rfam family "Eukaryotic large subunit ribosomal RNA", at positions 95 to 659 of the family's 3401-position model. Lineage: Eukaryota; Fungi; Ascomycota; Saccharomycetes; Saccharomycetales; Saccharomycetaceae. The record is from RNAcentral.
UGAGCGGCAAAAGCUCAAAUUUGAAAUCUGGUACCUUCGGUGCCCGAGUUGUAAUUUGGAGAGGGCAACUUUGGGGCCGUUCCUUGUCUAUGUUCCUUGGAACAGGACGUCAUAGAGGGUGAGAAUCCCGUGUGGCGAGGAGUGCGGUUCUUUGUAAAGUGCCUUCGAAGAGUCGAGUUGUUUGGGAAUGCAGCUCUAAGUGGGUGGUAAAUUCCAUCUAAAGCUAAAUAUUGGCGAGAGACCGAUAGCGAACAAGUACAGUGAUGGAAAGAUGAAAAGAACUUUGAAAAGAGAGUGAAAAAGUACGUGAAAUUGUUGAAAGGGAAGGGCAUUUGAUCAGACAUGGUGUUUUGUGCCCUCUGCUCCUUGUGGGUAGGGGAAUCUCGCAUUUCACUGGGCCAGCAUCAGUUUUGGUGGCAGGAUAAAUCCAUAGGAAUGUAGCUUGCCUCGGUAAGUAUUAUAGCCUGUGGGAAUACUGCCAGCUGGGACUGAGGACUGCGACGUAAGUCAAGGAUGCUGGCAUAAUGGUUAUAUGCCGCCCGUCUUGACC